UCCCUGGUGGCUCAGAUGGUAAAGCGUCUGCCUGCAAUGCAGGAGACCCAGGUUCCAUCCCCGGGUCGGGAA
RNAcentral lists this transfer RNA (72 nucleotides) under Bos taurus (domestic cattle). It matches the Rfam family "tRNA". Rfam says of the family: Transfer RNA (tRNA) molecules are approximately 80 nucleotides in length. Lineage: Eukaryota; Metazoa; Chordata; Mammalia; Artiodactyla; Bovidae. The record is from Rfam by way of RNAcentral. RNAcentral also lists the same sequence under 5 other names.